This is a long non-coding RNA of Vidua macroura (Pin-tailed whydah), 579 nucleotides long. RefSeq lists it as uncharacterized. The record is from RefSeq and is a predicted model, not a curated record. NCBI's taxonomy places the organism in Eukaryota, Metazoa, Chordata, Aves, Passeriformes, Viduidae. The transcript is spliced from 3 exons.
CGGCUCCAGGGGGCUGCACCGGCAAAGCAAGCGCGUUCCAGCGAGCUAAAUUAUUCUAACGAGCCUUCAUUGGACCUUUAUAUUAGUUAUGGGCAGGUGUGGAAUUUGCAUAAUGGUUCGUUCGCCGCGGUGUUAAUUACUGUGUCUGAAGUGCCCCGCUAAUGAGAUAACUGCGUGAGGACUUCGGGAAGGAGCGGGAGGAAAGCAGGUGUAAAGUUAAUCAAAGGAGGAGCGCGGCCCGCAUCAAAGCGGGCUUCGGCUGCUGCGGUGAACCGAGCGCUCUGUUCUCGUUAUCUAAUUUAUUGUAAGCUUGUGGCUGCAGUUAACAAAUUCUGGAAGUACCAACACACAAUGAAAACGGAUUUUGAAGUGUGCAAUGAAGAUAGUAAAGGCUAUUUAAGCAGAGAAGACUCUACAGUUGGUCUAAUAAUGGUUUUUUUUGCUAGAAACGCUCAAAGUUAUCCAAUUGAAUGGAAAGCGGCUCAUGCAGGCAAGUUCAGCAUGUUUGGGCAACCUCUGUUAUUAUAGAAAUGGUGCAUGUACAGAACAUAGCAGUUGAAAGCAGCAAGACAGUGUAAU